This 360-nucleotide ribosomal RNA is filed under the name uncultured Pseudomonadales bacterium. RNAcentral describes it as "bacterial SSU rRNA". It matches the Rfam family "Bacterial small subunit ribosomal RNA", at positions 983 to 1343 of the family's 1533-position model. Lineage: Bacteria; Pseudomonadati; Pseudomonadota; Gammaproteobacteria; Pseudomonadales. The record is from RNAcentral.
GACAUAUCUAGAAUCCUGCAGAGAUGCGGGAGUGCCUUCGGGAAUUAGAAUACAGGUGCUGCAUGGCUGUCGUCAGCUCGUGUCGUGAGAUGUUGGGUUAAGUCCCGCAACGAGCGCAACCCUUGUCCUUAGUUACCAGCGGUUUGGCCGGGAACUCUAUGGAUACUGCCAGUGACAAACUGGAGGAAGGCGGGGACGACGUCAAGUCAUCAUGGCCCUUACGACCAGGGCUACACACGUGCUACAAUGGUAGGUACAGAGGGCAGCUACACAGGGAUGUGAUGCGAAUCUCAAAAAGCCUAUCGUAGUCCAGAUUGGAGUCUGCAACUCGACUCCAUGAAGUAGGAAUCGCUAGUAAUC